GAUGAACGCUGACAGAAUGCUUAACACAUGCAAGUCUUUGGCGAAGCUGUGCUCGCCCAGCCUAGCCAAGGCGGACGGGUGAGUAACGCGUAAGGAACUUGCCCUGCAGUCAGGGAUAACAGACGGAAACGACUGAUAAGACCUGGUAAAGUCAGGCGGACUCAUGUCCAGCCUGAUGAAAAGAGAUGCUGCAGGGGAGCCUUGCGUCCUAUUAGCUUGUUGGUGGGGUAACGGCCCACCAAGGCGAUGAUAGGUAGCCGGCCUGAGAGGGUGGACGGCCACAAGGGGACUGAGAUACGGCCCUUACUCCUACGGGAGGCAGCAGUGGGGAAUAUUGGACAAUGGGGGCAACCCUGAUCCAGCAAUUCUGUGUGCACGAUGAAGGUUUUCGGAUUGUAAAGUGCUUUCAGCAGGGAAGAAAAAAAUGACGGUACCUGCAGAAGAAGCGACGGCUAAAUACGUG
RNAcentral lists this ribosomal RNA (463 nucleotides) under uncultured bacterium. Its description in RNAcentral is "partial 16S ribosomal RNA". It matches the Rfam family "Bacterial small subunit ribosomal RNA", at positions 28 to 507 of the family's 1533-position model. The record is from RNAcentral.